This 423-nucleotide ribosomal RNA is filed under the name Triticum aestivum (bread wheat). RNAcentral describes it as "partial small subunit ribosomal RNA". Lineage: Eukaryota; Viridiplantae; Streptophyta; Magnoliopsida; Poales; Poaceae. The record is from RNAcentral.
AUGAUGAUUGAUCUGAAUGAACCACCGCUUGACGUAGAGUCCAUCAACAUUUCAGUCGAGUUGGGUGCACCCUUCUUGCAUGCAGGGGGUGAACAGGGACAUCAACAAUUGGAGGAGGAGGUUGGUGAGUCUCCUGACCCCAAUGUUGGAUCUAACACUACUCAUGUCCCGGAAAAACGUGUUGCCUCUCCCCCACCUAUGGUUGCUCCUGCUAAUGCUUUAGUUCAUGAGGCACAUGAGUUGGAAGAUGAAGAAGCUGGAUCACAGCCACAACAACCUUAUGUUGGCAUGCGCUUCGACACAUUAGAGGAUGCGAGGGAACACUACAAUCGCUAUGCUUUGAUGGAGGCUUUCGAUCAAGUCAAAUACGUCUUACAGGUCGUCCUACACAGGUGUGGUGGAAAAACAGCAAUUCUGCUGUAA